UGUGGCGGAGAGUCUGGGAGGAGGUGGAGCGGCUGGCGGAGGAAAGGCACGCAGCGCCGCGGUGCUGUGCUGCGGCCCAGUCGGGACUGCAGGACCCACCGGACUCGCCGUCCGUGGGCUCCUGCGUGAGGCCCUGCAGUCCCGCUCCUGCUGCCUGCUGCCCCUUCCCGCCCCAAGGCUUCUCCGAACCACCCUCUGCGCACAGGGCCACUUCUUACUCCUUUGUGUGUUCUCCACAAAGUCCAGGAUGAUGCCUUACAUAAAGAGAGAGAGAGAGAGAGAGAGAAGAAGAAGAAGCACACAAGCAGGGGGAAUCACGUGCAAAGGGAGAGGAAGAAGCAAGCUCCUUGGGGUGCAAGUAGUCCCAUGCAGGGCUGGAUCCCUGUACACUGGAAUCAUGACCUCAGCCAAAGGCAAACAUCUGCUUAAACAACUGAGUCUUCCAGGCACCCCUAGAAAAUUAAAAAAAAAAAAAGACCUUUUAAAAACA
This is a long non-coding RNA of Mustela lutreola (European mink), 490 nucleotides long. RefSeq lists it as uncharacterized. The transcript has 3 exons. Lineage: Eukaryota; Metazoa; Chordata; Mammalia; Carnivora; Mustelidae. The record is from RefSeq and is a predicted model, not a curated record.